UUUUGACCGUGCAAAGGUAGCGCAAUCACUUGUCUCUUAAAUAGAGACCUGUAUGAAUGGCUAGACGAGGGCUUAACUGUCUCCCCCUUCCAGUCAGUGAAAUUGAUCUAUCCGUGCAGAAGCGGGUAUAAUUAUACAAGACGAGAAGACCCUUUGGAGCUUAAGGUACAAAAUUCAACCACGUUAAACGACUCUACAUGAAGCAAGAACUUAGUGGCGAAUGAAAUUUUACCUUCGGUUGGGGCGACCACGGAGGAGAAAGAAGCCUCCGAGUGGACUGGGCUAAUCCCCAAAGCCAAGAGAUACAUCUAUAAGCCGCAGAACAUCUGACCAAGUAAUGAUCCGACUGAUAAAGCCGAUCAACGAACCAAGUUACCCUAGGGAUAACAGCGCAAUCCUCUCCCAGAGUCCAUAUCGACGAGGGGABURNDSBUNCUAUUSUUUUGACCGUGCAAAGGUAGCGCAAUCACUUGUCUCUUAAAUAGAGACCUGUAUGAAUGGCUAGACGAGGGCUUAACUGUCUCCCCCCUCCAGUCAGUGAAAUUGAUCUAUCCGUGCAGAAGCGGGUAUAAUUAUACAAGACGAGAAGACCCUUUGGAGCUUAGGGUACAAGAUUCAACCACGUUAAACGACUCUAUAAGAAGCAAGAACUUAGUGGCGAAUGAAACUUUACCUUCGGUUGGGGCGACCACGGAGGAAAAAGAACCCUCCGAGUGGAUUGGGCCAAACCCCAAAGCCAAGAGAGACAUCUACAAGCCGCAGAACAUCUGACCAAAAAUGAUCCGGCUGAAAGGCCGAUCAACGAACCNUUUUACCCUAGGGAUAACAGCGCAAUCCUCUCCCAAAGUCCAUUUCGACAAGGGG
RNAcentral lists this ribosomal RNA (864 nucleotides) under Squalius cephalus (European chub). RNAcentral describes it as "partial 16S ribosomal RNA". The stretch from base 1 to 521 matches the Rfam family "Bacterial large subunit ribosomal RNA", at positions 1940 to 2925 of the family's 2925-position model. The record is from RNAcentral. Lineage: Eukaryota; Metazoa; Chordata; Actinopteri; Cypriniformes; Leuciscidae.